GAUCAUUACCGAGUUUACAACUCCCAAACCCCUGUGAACAUACCAAUUGUUGCCUCGGCGGAUCAGCCCGCUCCCGGUAAAACGGGACGGCCCGCCAGAGGACCCCUAAACUCUGUUUCUAUAUGUAACUUCUGAGUAAAACCAUAAAUAAAUCAAAACUUUCAACAACGGAUCUCUUGGUUCUGGCAUCGAUGAAGAACGCAGCAAAAUGCGAUAAGUAAUGUGAAUUGCAGAAUUCAGUGAAUCAUCGAAUCUUUGAACGCACAUUGCGCCCGCCAGUAUUCUGGCGGGCAUGCCUGUUCGAGCGUCAUUUCAACCCUCAAGCCCAGCUUGGUGUUGGGACUCGCGAGUCAAAUCGCGUUCCCCAAAUUGAUUGGCGGUCACGUCGAGCUUCCAUAGCGUAGUAGUAAAACCCUCGUUACUGGUAAUCGUCGCGGCCACGCCGUUAAACCCCAACUUCUGAAUGUUGACCUCGGAUCAGGUAGGAAUACCCGCUGAACCUAAGCAUAUCA
This 512-nucleotide unclassified non-coding RNA is filed under the name Fusarium verticillioides. Its description in RNAcentral is "sequence contains 18S rRNA gene, ITS1, 5.8S rRNA gene, ITS2, 28S rRNA gene". The stretch from base 157 to 310 matches the Rfam family "5.8S ribosomal RNA". Lineage: Eukaryota; Fungi; Ascomycota; Sordariomycetes; Hypocreales; Nectriaceae. The record is from RNAcentral.